GACGAACCGUGCGAACGUUGUUCGGAAUCACUGGGCUUAAAGGGCGCGUAGGCGGGCCUUCAAGUCCGGGGUGAAAUCCUCCAGCCUAACUGGAGAAGAGCCUCGGAGACUGAGGGCCUCGAGGAGGGUAGGGGCGUGCGGAACUCUGGGUGGAGCGGUGAAAUGCAUUGAUAUCCAGAGGAACUCCGGAGGCGAAGGCGGCA
RNAcentral lists this ribosomal RNA (203 nucleotides) under uncultured prokaryote. RNAcentral describes it as "partial 16S ribosomal RNA". It matches the Rfam family "Bacterial small subunit ribosomal RNA", at positions 524 to 726 of the family's 1533-position model. The record is from RNAcentral.